CACCCCGCAGCUGAGGCGAGACGGGCCCCGCCCGCCGGCGCCCCCCGCCCCGGACUCACUGCGGAGGUUGUGGAUGAGCUCGGAGUGGCUGGCGCCUCCCGACUUCCAGGCCAUCGCUAGACACACUCUGCGGAGCAGGGAAAGCAAAUUCCAUGAUUGCAGACAAUUUCGGGGAACCUACUGUCAGUGCUGUGACUUUUGCAUUUGUGCCCCCUUCUGGUCCCUGUGAAACCAGCUUCCACACACCCAGGACUGCAAUUUUACAGCGUUUCCUCUCUUAACCAGGCGCAACCAUGCAGCAUUCCUGAUAUGAGGACACACACAGCCUAACAUACCACCAUGGGAGACACAGAUAUCGUCUUCUGUGCAAGAAACCAUCCUGGGAGGAAUGAACCUGUUCCAGUUCCACACAACGCAUAUACUCCAUCCCAUCAUUGCCGGUUCAAGUGAAGAAAAUGAGGCGAAGGUGGGAAUCUGCUUUUCUGGCUAGCAGUCAGUCCAGGGCAAGUCUGGCAGUUGCCCAAUGCAUACACCAGGUCCCAUCCAUAGACUUCCCAGACCUUUCCCAUCCAGUUCUUUUAAUCCUGGAGACAGAUCCACUGCUUCAUUCUGUAUUCUCCAUCUAACUUCUCCUAAGCAUGAUCUGGCAACCGCUCUACAGUCUGUGAGAGACUCCCAGCCUGCCCCAGAAUAUAAAAGGUCUCCCUGUUAUAUCCAGUGGGCUGGGAGAGAAGGAAAGAAGCCAUGGAGUUAGAGGAAUUCCCAAAGGGCAGCAAAUACAGAGAACAGACAGACAUUGUAAAAAUACACACACAAAAAUACUUCAUUGUUUUAAAUGCAAAAGACAUUUUCUGUUGUCAGAUGCAAGCAAACUGCUUUGCUCUCACAUAGAGAGGUCGUUGGCAAGAAACUAGCUGGCCCAUGUUUAAAAGCAUUCCAUGGAUACUUACCCCCUUGGGAGACCAGAAACACAAGAGAAACCAUUUACAUAUAAACUGACACUGCUUACCAGGACCAGCUUGAAUUAGGGUUAAGCUUGUCAUAGAGCACAGAGAAAGAGCCCACCUUUAUCUCCUAGGAACAUGCAGACUUGCCCAGGCGCUUUCUGACUGAAUGUACCUAUUGUCCAUCUGUUGGCUACAUUCUUGGCAUGACUAUUCAGAGAAUGACAAGAACUAAGUGUAAGCCUUCCUAAGCGAUAUCUGGGGUGUCUUGGAUGGAUACCAGGCAUGUGUGAAGGAAACCGCAUUGGCUCUGCAAGUUUCCAGGAACUUUAAGACAAGCCAAGUUGCCUCAAAGGGCCCUGAGAAACUAACAUGCACCCACAGUGGCAGGACGCACCCAUUCGUGCAGUAAACAAACAUGAGAGUCCUUAGCUCUUUCUGCUCUAUAACACCAGGCCAUAAGUCCAUUGUUUAAACUUAAGAGAAUAUCUGUUAAGAUAAAACUAAAAGGAACAUAGACAUUCUACACUAGAGUAAAAGACAAGCAGAAACAAUAAUAAAAAAUGUUUUCCAGCCAUCAUCGUUCACAUGGAAACUCUCCAUCUGCUCUGAUACUCAGCAUUCCUGUAUCCUCUUCCCCCUCACUUGUCCAAAUCAGCACAAGCACCUUGGUCCCUGGAUGCCCACUGUCAGUUGCAGACACCCACAUCUUCCACAGGUACAGCCAUCUCCCUAGCCCUUCCAGGGAGCUGGUGCAUGGACAGCCCUAUUAGGGAAGAGGCAUGGGAAUGCCAGCAGCCAGAGUGGGCUGUCACUUGAUUGUUCUGACAUGGAGAUCCCAACUAAUUUUAAGCACAUGUCAGAUCUCUCUCCUUUUCCGCACACGCACCCACAUCUCAAUCCCUUAGCAGUACUUACAAACAUUUAUAUAUAAACCCCUCCAUGCUACUAUUUCUGUUUCAUCCCUUCCCUCCCACCUCAAGAACCCAUUAGAUUUUUAAUUUUUUUGUAAUUUAAAAAGCAUAUGAAAAGUUGAUCAUCACUGUCUAAUCCCAUCUGCUUCUGCAUAUACAUACCACAAUCAGAAAUUUCCUUGUGAAAUGUUCCUGCUGAACUUUUCCUCAGUUAUGUCCCAAGCCCCACAUUAACUGGUUUCUACACCUACAGUCACUCCUGUCCCUGCCUUCAUUCUGUUUUUAACUUAAUCACUCUCCUUCAUCUAAUUUCUUUUCCUGUAAUCUCAAGCCAUUUUGGUGUGUGCCUUCAUUUUGUAUUUCCACUUCAGAAGUUCACAUUAUUUUGAACUCGGCAUCCCUCUUUUCCCAGCCCUGCACUCAAAGAGGAGGUGAGAAGAACCCAGGCAUAUCAGUGACUCUGUGUUAGGGAGCCGCAGGACUGGGACCACUCCGUGAGAGAAGGUGAGCCUGGAGCCAGGGAUGACAAUGCCACACAGCAGGACGCUAUCCCACCGUGUCCGAGCAAGGCAAGCAGAGCAGGGCUGGGAACAGUAAAUGGUUUUGCCAUCAAGCAAAGUGACAAGUCAGGCCCCAAGUCAAGCCAGGCACCAAGUCAGGGACGUGGCUGGACACAGGCCCUGCUACAACACAGCUCAGGCCAGGAGCAGGUGCCUCAGCCCAGGUAGGAGCCGCAGGUGAGGGCAAGUAAAGGCUUAUGAACGCAGCCAGGGCCCUGGCACUCUGCUCUUCAUUCUGCUCUGCAGUACCCUGCACAGCAACAGCGCUUGUUCAAGAGAUGGAACUGGGCACAACUCCAGGAGUUAUGACCAGCAGUAAAUACGGCAUCUCCAAAUAACUUUCUUAAAAUAUUGUUGAACGAUAAUUGGAAGAAAGCAGAUUAUAAGCAAAUAGGGUUCAGAAUUAGCUUUAUCCUGCCCUAGUACAUCCACUGAUCUAGUAAAUGCCUUCAUUCCCAGGCCCCCUAACCUCUGGCAGAGAGGCAGGCAUGCUUUCAGUUUUCUUCCCUUUCACUCACACUCCUAGCUUUAGCCACAUUUAAGGAUAAUCCAUAGAUGCUCCUCGUUGCCUUAGCUAACAGGUUUGGACGCAAUACCCAGGGUCAGUUUCAUCUAGACAUAACGUCCUUUUUGACAACCUCAGAAAUAUUUGAUGAGGCUUAUUUUCUCCCAGUGCUUAUUUCCUUCUUUUAUUUGUUUAUUUAAAUCUGCUAUUACACUGAAAAAAACUUAUUAACACAGUACACAUCUUUCAUAGUGAUCAAACACAGAGAAUAUAUUUAAAGGUUUACAGAGCAGCCCUAAAUCCAUCACAGCUCUCUCCUCCAUCACAUAACAUGCUGCCAACAUUUUCUUAAAAAAAAGUGUAAGACAGGGAAGAAAAAUUGUGAUUCUUCUUUCCCUCUUAAUGAAAGGGACACCAUCCAAGAGCACAAUAGAAAAAAUACGCACAGAAAUCACAAAGUAACCAACAGAAAUAUUUGCCUAAUAAAAUAUUUUGAUAAUCCCAAAGUGUUAUCUCUUCCACUUUUAGCUAUCUGCUCUGCGGCUGUAUUCCGAGGCUGCCUAUUGACCUUUCUCACAAGUGUUAUGAGAAUUAGCUGAAAAUACCCUUGCAGUUGACAGUGACUUGCAGGAUUGCUGUUAGCAGCUUAAUACAGGGCACCAGAGGUAUUGGCUACUGUAUAAUAAUAAUGCUACUGCGGCAUGCAACAAAGCUGGUUUAAGACUUGCAGUAUAGCAGACUACAAUGGCAUCCAGCUUUUUGAAUAUGCUCAGUGUUGGAUUCUGCUGUAUAAUUAUGAAAAAAAAAAAAAACCAACCAAAAAACCCAAACAACUAUUCCUCACAACUGAAGUUCAAAUGAUGCAUAAAGCAUAUAAAAUAUCACUGAUUUGGUAUCACAUCUGAAGGAUUACAAAACGGCAUAGCAGACUUGAUGAGGAACUCAAGAAUGCUGUAUAGAAAAACCGUGACAGAUGGCUUGGCAGGCAAACUGCAGUGACAUGGGUGAAAGUUUGGCCAAGCCACUGCUGCUAAUGCUGUUAAGUCCACCUGACAGAACCUCACAGAGCGGGCAGCUGCAGCUUUGAAAAAAAUGCAGCAGAAAACCAGGUUGUACAAGUAGGAAGGUGCUUGUGAAAGUCCCUUACUGCACUGCAGUGACUGGACAGAUAGUCCCAUCUGAAAUGAC
This is a long non-coding RNA of Grus americana (Whooping crane), 4111 nucleotides long. RefSeq lists it as uncharacterized. Lineage: Eukaryota; Metazoa; Chordata; Aves; Gruiformes; Gruidae. The record is from RefSeq and is a predicted model, not a curated record. The transcript is spliced from 3 exons.